Molecule: long non-coding RNA, 320 nt
Filed under: Homo sapiens (human)
Lineage: Eukaryota; Metazoa; Chordata; Mammalia; Primates; Hominidae
Description: non-protein coding lnc-GINS1-6:1
Source: RNAcentral
AAUUUGAAGUCAGGUAAUGUGAUUCCUCCAGCUUUAUUACUUUUGUUCAGGAUGGCUUUGGCUAUUUUGGAUCUUUCAUGGUCCCAUAUAAAUUUUAGGAUUAAUUUAUCUAUUUCUGUGACCAAAUUAAUAGCAUAUAGUAGCUCAUAAUCAUUUCUAAUGAUCCUUUAAAUUUCUAUGGUAUCAAUUGUAAUGUCUCCUUUUUCAUUUCUGAUUUUAUUUGUUUUGGUCUUCUGUUUUUUCUUAGUCUGGCUAAAGGUUUGUGAAUUUUACCUUUUUUAAAAUUAUACUUUAAGUUCUGGGGUACAUGUGCAGAACGU